UACGUAGGAGGCAAGCGUUGUCCGGAAUUACUGGGUGUAAAGCGCGUGUAGGCGGCAGGCCAAGUCUGUGGUGAAAUCGCUCGGCUCAACUGGGCGGGGUCCAUGGAAACUGGUCAGCUGGAGGACGGUAGAGGUGAGUGGAAUUCCCGGUGUAGUGGUGAAAUGCGUAGAUAUGUGGAGGAACACCGAUGGCGAAGGCAGCCUUCUGGGCCAACACUGACGCUCAUGCACGAAAGCGUGGGGAGCAAACAGG
Molecule: ribosomal RNA, 253 nt
Filed under: uncultured bacterium
Lineage: Bacteria
Description: partial 16S ribosomal RNA
Rfam family: Bacterial small subunit ribosomal RNA
Source: RNAcentral